AUAAUUGAUAUCUCCUUUUUAAUAUAAGACGUUUAUAAAAGGAAAUCCUGAAUGCAACAAAUACUAGGUUAGAGGAGAUUGCGGAUUUAUCCGGUUCCCACUACUCACCAGUUAAACUGAGAGCCAAGGCACUUUGACAUAGGCUGCACUCACUCACUGUGAUUUGGAAAAUGGACAAGAACAUGAAGAGUUAUCUUUGCCUUUGUGUAAUGGAACUGAUGUUCCCUUUGACAUCAUGAAAAGAACAAGGAAUCACAUCAUUGAAUAUGACUGUUGCAAUGGAUUAACAAUCACAGCAUAAGAUGUUCCCUUUGACAUCAUGAAAAGAACAAGGAAUCACAUCAUUGAAUAUGACUGUUGCAAUGGAUUAACAAUCACAGCAUAAGGGAAUAUGCGCCGUGCUCAGCUAUCUCCAGCCAUAUAUCAGGGAGGGAAGCCAUUAUGAGUGGCUAUUUUCUGCCCUCUCUCGGCCCACUCCCGGCCCCCUCCCUGCCGGCCAUUACAAUUGAAUUCAUCUCCACGCUGGGGGACUGCAUGGGAGACGAGGAGAGGGGAUGAAGCUGGAGGAAGCCCAAAGGGCACUUUCAUGCUGCUCGCCAUCACAAAUUCCACCAAGUCAAUAUGAACACUUUUGCACACACACACUCCUCCCUAACUUCUUCCUUACUUUCUUUUUUUCUUUUUCUCGUUCUUUUUCGCUCUUUUCCUCAUCUCUCUACCUACCUUCCUCUACUCCACAAUCGCUCUGAAGAAACUCAGAGAGUGGCUCUGAAAUUAUUAAACUUUUGAUAUGUAGACCUGACAAAAUGUUUUGCUCUAUAAUUGCUGCUGGAUCACUGUUUAGUUAAGAGCCUCCUCAAAUG
Long non-coding RNA from Alosa sapidissima (American shad), 863 nucleotides. RefSeq lists it as uncharacterized. NCBI's taxonomy places the organism in Eukaryota, Metazoa, Chordata, Actinopteri, Clupeiformes, Clupeidae. The transcript has 4 exons. The record is from RefSeq and is a predicted model, not a curated record.